Molecule: ribosomal RNA, 116 nt
Filed under: Pteropus alecto (black flying fox)
Lineage: Eukaryota; Metazoa; Chordata; Mammalia; Chiroptera; Pteropodidae
Source: RNAcentral
GUCUAUGGCCAUGCCACCCUGAACAAGCCCGAUGUCUGAUCUCGGAAGCUAAGCAGGGUCGGGCCUGGUAAGUACUUGGAUGGGAGACCACCUAGGAAGACCAGGUGCUGUAGGCA